UUAAGCGACUAAGCGUACACGGUGGAUGCCCUGGCAGUCAGAGGCGAUGAAGGACGUGCUAAUCUGCGAAAAGCGCCGGCGAGGUGAUAUGAACCUUUGACCCGGCGAUGUCCGAAUGGGGAAACCCAGUGCAAUCCGUUGCACUAUCGUUAACUGAAUACAUAGGUUAACGAGGCGAACCGGGGGAACUGAAACAUCUAAGUACCCCGAGGAAAAGAAAUCAACCGAGAUUCCCCCAGUAGCGGCGAGCGAACGGGGAGCAGCCCGGAGUCUGAAUCAGCUUGUGUGUUAGUGGAACGGUCUGGAAAGUCCGACGGUACAGGGUGAUAGUCCCGUACACGAAAGCACAUAUGCUGUGAACUCGAAGAGUAGGGCGGGACACGUGGUAUCCUGUCUGAAUAUGGGGGGACCAUCCUCCAAGGCUAAAUACUCCUGACUGACCGAUAGUGAACCAGUACCGUGAGGGAAAGGCGAAAAGAACCCCGGCGAGGGGAGUGAAAAAGAACCUGAAACCGUGUACGUACAAGCAGUGGGAGCCUCUUUAUGGGGUGACUGCGUACCUUUUGUAUAAUGGGUCAGCGACUUAUAUUCUGUAGCAAGGUUAACCGUAUAGGGGAGCCGAAGGGAAACCGAGUCUUAACUGGGCGUUAAGUUGCAGGGUAUAGACCCGAAACCCGGUGAUCUAGCCAUGGGCAGGUUGAAGGUUGGGUAACACUAACUGGAGGACCGAACCGACUAAUGUUGAAAAAUUAGCGGAUGACCUGUGGCUGGGGGUGAAAGGCCAAUCAAACCGGGAGAUAGCUGGUUCUCCCCGAAAGCUAUUUAGGUAGCGCCUCGUGAACUCAUCUUCGGGGGUAGAGCACUGUUUCGGCUAGGGGGCCAUCCCGGCUUACCAACCCGAUGCAAACUACGAAUACCGAAGAAUGUUAUCACGGGAGACACACGGCGGGUGCUAACGUCCGUCGUGAAGAGGGAAACAACCCAGACCGCCAGCUAAGGUCCCAAAGUCAUGGUUAAGUGGGAAACGAUGUGGGAAGGCACAGACAGCCAGGAUGUUGGCUUAGAAGCAGCCAUCAUUUAAAGAAAGCGUAAUAGCUCACUGGUCGAGUCGGCCUGCGCGGAAGAUGUAACGGGGCUAAACCAUGCACCGAAGCUGCGGCAGCGACACUAUGUGUUGUUGGGUAGGGGAGCGUUCUGUAAGCCGUUGAAGGUGUGCUGUGAGGCAUGCUGGAGGUAUCAGAAGUGCGAAUGCUGACAUAAGUAACGAUAAAGCGGGUGAAAAGCCCGCUCGCCGGAAGACCAAGGGUUCCUGUCCAACGUUAAUCGGGGCAGGGUGAGUCGACCCCUAAGGCGAGGCCGAAAGGCGUAGUCGAUGGGAAACAGGUUAAUAUUCCUGUACUUGGUGUUACUGCGAAGGGGGGACGGAGAAGGCUAUGUCAGCCGGGCGACGGUUGUCCCGGUUUAAGCAUGUAGGCGGAGGUUCCAGGUAAAUCCGGUACCUUGUUAACGCUGAGGUGUGAUGACGAGGCACUACGGUGCUGAAGUGAUAAAUGCCCUGCUUCCAGGAAAAGCCUCUAAGCAUCAGGUAACACGAAAUCGUACCCCAAACCGACACAGGUGGUCAGGUAGAGAAUACCAAGGCGCUUGAGAGAACUCGGGUGAAGGAACUAGGCAAAAUGGUGCCGUAACUUCGGGAGAAGGCACGCUGAUAUGUAGGUGAAGCCCCUGCGGGCGGAGCUGAAAUCAGUCGAAGAUACCAGCUGGCUGCAACUGUUUAUUAAAAACACAGCACUGUGCAAACACGAAAGUGGACGUAUACGGUGUGACGCCUGCCCGGUGCCGGAAGGUUAAUUGAUGGGGUUAGCGGCAACGCGAAGCUCUUGAUCGAAGCCCCGGUAAACGGCGGCCGUAACUAUAACGGUCCUAAGGUAGCGAAAUUCCUUGUCGGGUAAGUUCCGACCUGCACGAAUGGCGUAAUGAUGGCCAGGCUGUCUCCACCCGAGACUCAGUGAAAUUGAACUCGCUGUGAAGAUGCAGUGUACCCGCGGCAAGACGGAAAGACCCCGUGAACCUUUACUAUAGCUUGACACUGAACACUGGUCCUUGAUGUGUAGGAUAGGUGGGAGGCUUUGAAGCGUGGACGCCAGUCUGCGUGGAGCCAACCUUGAAAUACCACCCUUUAAUGGCUGGUGUUCUAACGUAGACCCGUAAUCCGGGUUGCGGACAGUGUCUGGUGGGUAGUUUGACUGGGGCGGUCUCCUCCCAAAGAGUAACGGAGGAGCACGAAGGUUGGCUAAUCCUGGUCGGACAUCAGGAGGUUAGUGCAAUGGCAUAAGCCAGCUUGACUGCGAGCGUGACGGCGCGAGCAGGUGCGAAAGCAGGUCAUAGUGAUCCGGUGGUUCUGAAUGGAAGGGCCAUCGCUCAACGGAUAAAAGGUACUCCGGGGAUAACAGGCUGAUACCGCCCAAGAGUUCAUAUCGACGGCGGUGUUUGGCACCUCGAUGUCGGCUCAUCACAUCCUGGGGCUGAAGUAGGUCCCAAGGGUAUGGCUGUUCGCCAUUUAAAGUGGUACGCGAGCUGGGUUUAGAACGUCGUGAGACAGUUCGGUCCCUAUCUGCCGUGGGCGCUGGAGAAUUGAGGGGGGCUGCUCCUAGUACGAGAGGACCGGAGUGGACGCAUCACUGGUGUUCGGGUUGUCAUGCCAAUGGCACUGCCCGGUAGCUAAAUGCGGAAGAGAUAAGUGCUGAAAGCAUCUAAGCACGAAACUUGCCCCGAGAUGAGUUCUCCCUGAGACNACGACGUUGAUAGGUCGGGUGUGUAAGCGCAGCGAUGCGUUGAGCUAACCGAUACUAAUGAACCGUGAGGCUUAACCUU
This 2874-nucleotide ribosomal RNA is filed under the name Enterobacter hormaechei. RNAcentral's name for it is "23S ribosomal RNA". It matches the Rfam family "Bacterial large subunit ribosomal RNA". The record is from RNAcentral. Lineage: Bacteria; Pseudomonadati; Pseudomonadota; Gammaproteobacteria; Enterobacterales; Enterobacteriaceae.